CCCGCAACGAGCGCAACCCUCGUUCUAUGUUGCCAGCGCGUUAUGGCGGGGACUCAUAGGAGACUGCCGGGGUCAACUCGGAGGAAGGUGGGGAUGACGUCAAAUCAUCAUGCCCCUUAUGUCUUGGGCUUCACGCAUGCUACAAUGGCCGGUACAAAGGGCUGCGAUACCGUAAGGUGGAGCGAAUCCCAAAAAGCCGGUCUCAGUUCGGAUUGAGGUCUGCAACUCGACCUCAUGAAGUCGGAGUCGCUAGUAAUCGCAGAUCAGCAACGCUGCGGUGAAUACGUU
Molecule: ribosomal RNA, 288 nt
Filed under: Curtobacterium citreum
Lineage: Bacteria; Bacillati; Actinomycetota; Actinomycetes; Micrococcales; Microbacteriaceae
Description: partial 16S ribosomal RNA
Rfam family: Bacterial small subunit ribosomal RNA
Source: RNAcentral